CCAGUGGUCGCUCUUGGAGGGUCUCGCCGCCAGUGGAAGGAGCCACCGCCCCCGCCCGACCAUGGCCGAGGAUCUGGUCUUAGAGAGGUGUGAUCUGGAGCUGGAGACCAAUGGCCGAGACCACCACACGGCCGACCUGUGCCGGGAGAAGCUGGUGGUACGACGGGGCCAGCCCUUCUGGCUGACCCUGCACUUUGAGGGCCGCAACUACGAGGCCAGUGUAGACAGUCUCACCUUCAGUGUCGUGACCGGCCCAGCCCCUAGCCAGGAGGCCGGGACAAAGGCCCGUUUUCCACUACGAGAUGCUGUGGAGGAGGGUGACUGGACAGCCACCGUGGUGGACCAGCAAGACUGCACUCUCUCGCUGCAGCUCACCACCCCGGCCGACGCCCCCAUCGGCCUGUAUCGCCUCAGCCUGGAGGCCUCCACUGGCUACCAGGGAUCCAGCUUUGUGCUGGGCCACUUCAUCUUGCUCUUCAACUCCUGGUGCCCAGCGGAUGCUGUGUACCUGGACUCGGAAGAGGAGCGGCAGGAGUACGUCCUCACCCAGCAGGGCUUUAUCUACCAGGGCUCAGCCAAGUUCAUCAAGAACAUACCUUGGAAUUUUGGGCAGUUUGAAGAUGGGAUCCUAGACAUCUGCCUGAUGCUUCUAGAUGUCAACCCCAAGUUCCUGAAGAACGCCGGCCGUGACUGCUCCCGCCGCAGCAGCCCCAUCUACGUGGGCCGGGUGGUGAGCGGCAUGGUCAACUGCAACGAUGACCAGGGUGUGCUGCUGGGACGCUGGGACAACAACUACGGGGACGGCAUCAGCCCCAUGUCCUGGAUCGGCAGCGUGGACAUCCUGCGGCGCUGGAAGAACCACGGCUGCCAGCGCGUCAAGUACGGCCAGUGCUGGGUCUUCGCCGCCGUGGCCUGCACAGGUGAGCUGCACGCUGGGAUGUGGGUCAUGAGCCCUGGGAGGGGGCACAAAGAGCACCGGAGUAGGAAUCAGGACAUCCCUGCCCUGGUCCUGCCCCUGUCACCAACACUCUCAAUGCGCUAUGUGGCCUAGAGCCUGUGACCACCCUCUCCGGUCCUUUAUCCAAUAGCCAUCCCUCCGGUGGUUGUUAGGAUCAAGGGCUAUCACUGGGGAGACUGCAUGGGCUGAGGGCUGAGAACUUGGUCACUGGAGCCCACGUCCUCAAAAACUCAGGAUUUUUAACCUGAGUUAAAAACCCCCUCCCUCCCACCACUUGCUCUGUGACCUUGAGCAAAUGACUUCUUUCUGAACCUCAGUUUCCUCGUCUGGAAAAUGGGGACAACAUCAAGACCUUCCUCCUAGAGUGGGUGUGACAUGAAGCCACUCAGCACAGAACCUGGCCCAGUGUUGCUCUUGGCAAAUAUUAGCCAGUAAUAACUGGAUCCUAACAGUAAUAUCAGUGUCAAGAAAGAAAGCGUGUUCUAAAAUACAGAGGGGGAAUAUCGAGCAAUUUAAAACCAAAAAAGUAAAAUAAAUCUAAAACAAAAAUCUUAAAAAUUUAAGGCCAGAAAAUGUUGAUGAUUGUUGCCAGGCUGAUGAUGGUGCUUAUGAGAAUGGGUUAGCAUCACACACUGGCUAAGAAUGUAGACUCGAGACAUGAGGAUUGUUUGAGGCCAGGAGUUUGAGACCAGCCUGGGCAAUAUAGUGAGACCUUGUCUCUACAAAAAAAUAAAAUAAAAUAAAAAUUAGCAGGCAUGGUUGUGUGUGCCUGGAGUCUUGGCUACUCAGGAGGCUGAGGCAGGAAGAUCGCUUGACCCCAGGAGGUUGGCUGCAAUGAGCUACGAUUGCGCCAUUGCAAUCCAGCCUGGGCAAUGGAGCAAGAUCCUCUCUCAAAAAAAAAAAAAAAAAAACAGAGAGAGAGCACAGAUUCUGAAGUCAAGGCCUGGGUUCAGAUCCUAGCUCUGCUUCUUACCAGCUGUGUGUCCUUAGGUAAAUCACUUAACUCCUCUGAACCACAGUUCCAUCGUAUGUAAAAUGGGCAUGACGGUAGUACCUUUAUACUGGGAUGGUUGUGAGGAUUAAAUGAGUUAAUACGUGUGAGGUAGCUGAGCGUGGUAGUGGUGCACCUGUAGUCUUAGCGAUUUGGGAGGCUGAGGCAGGGGGAUCACUUGAGCCCAGGAGGUCGAGGCUGCAGUGAGUCAUGAUUGCACCACUGUACUCCAGCCUGGGUGACAGAGCGAGACCUCAUCUCUAAAUAAAUAAAUGAAUGUAGGAAGUGCUUAAAAUGAUUUUGGGUGCAUAAUAGAAAAUACUUAUGUGAUGAUA
This 2284-nucleotide small RNA is filed under the name Pongo abelii (Sumatran orangutan). Its description in RNAcentral is "retained intron". The record is from RNAcentral. Lineage: Eukaryota; Metazoa; Chordata; Mammalia; Primates; Hominidae.